Bos taurus (domestic cattle) is the source of this 374-nucleotide long non-coding RNA. The record is from Ensembl. NCBI's taxonomy places the organism in Eukaryota, Metazoa, Chordata, Mammalia, Artiodactyla, Bovidae.
AGGACCUGGGAUGCGCGGGAGAAAUGGGCCUGGGCAGGGCUUGACUCAAGCACCAAGACAUCGAGGCCUCUUGAGAGUUCUCUGAGCACCAGGCCCCAUCGCACCAUAGCAGGCUUUCUGCAAAAUAGGCAUUUUGGAGCUUUUCCGAAGAGGUUCCUAGAGGUGGCGGUAACCUUGACGGGAGAAGCACAAUGUUUGAAGAGAAGAAUGGAAGCUUUUGAGUAGUGUGAGAUUUUAAUCAGAGACAGAUUCCUAAUUGCUAAAAACUUUUCCGCAGGGCCGAAGAGGAGGGCUGAGAUUUAUAUGCCUCAGGCAACACACCAUGAAAAUGACAUGGGACAUCCUAUCUCCUCUCUCUCACACAAGCAUAAUUU